Long non-coding RNA from Stegodyphus dumicola, 589 nucleotides. Lineage: Eukaryota; Metazoa; Arthropoda; Arachnida; Araneae; Eresidae. The record is from RefSeq and is a predicted model, not a curated record.
CGAACAUGAUAGUGCUCUACUUAAAAUACCUGUAAUGAAGUGUUCCAGUAUUAUAAAGGUGCACGUGAAAUUUGUGCUUUGUCAUUAAAAUAAUUGCUAACCUAGAACUACAAGGAAACACAGGAGUUCGCAUGCAAAACAAUGGGCAUUUUUCCGGUAUAUUUAAAGGCCAGACGAAAGCUGGCAGCGUGGCGACUAGUGUAAAAAGUAAAAUCCAAAAGAAUUUACAUGAAACAGAAACAUUUAGGUUUCCUAAUCAGCAGUGCUCGUCCAGGGAUUAGAGCUAUUACUUUUGCAUUCUCAGAGGUAUGCUACUGAGUAAAAUUAGAAGAAAUAGUCUUAUAAUUACUGAGAAACUUACAUGCUUUUAUAUUAUAUUUUCAUAUAUGUAACAUUAAGCAAAUAUAACAAACAGAUAUUUAUUUCCGUUAUGCAGUGAAACGUUUCCAAGCUAGUUUUCGAAAAGUAAAUGACAGCAAUCUUUUUUAGAGCUGCGUAGAUGUACCAGAAAUCAAGUAAUGAGUCUUCAUCAUUGCUAUGUACAAGCAAGGCUUCAUUCUCUGUAAAAUCAAUUUUUAAAAGUUUUUGC